This 392-nucleotide ribosomal RNA is filed under the name Excirolana mayana. RNAcentral describes it as "partial 12S ribosomal RNA". It matches the Rfam family "Bacterial small subunit ribosomal RNA", at positions 768 to 1418 of the family's 1533-position model. The record is from RNAcentral. Lineage: Eukaryota; Metazoa; Arthropoda; Malacostraca; Isopoda; Cirolanidae.
UAAACCGGGAUUAGAUACCCCGCUAUACGGGGGGGGUAACUAAGGGGGGUAGUACCGGCUACGGCCCCCAAACCCAAAGAACUUGGCGGCUGCCCACCCUACUAGAGGAGCCUGCCCCAUAACCGACGCCACCCGUUAGCUCCGGCCCCCAGUAUGUUUGUAUACCGCCGUCUAACCCCUAGCUACGAAGGUGGGGUGGUAAGGUCCCCAUCAAAGACAGGUCGAGGUGCAGCGGAUCUGGGGGAGGAGGUGGGCUACAGUCCCCGUGGGGCGGACCCCCCCCUGCCGGGGGGGGGCAAGAUGGAUUUAGCAGUAUCCGGGGGUUAACAUCCCUCGGAGAAUCGGACCUGGGUCGUGUACAUAUCGCCCGUCACUCUCAUUAAACUUGAGAU